Small nuclear RNA from Heterocephalus glaber (naked mole-rat), 159 nucleotides. Its record names the gene U1. It matches the Rfam family "U1 spliceosomal RNA". From Rfam's summary of the family: U1 is a small nuclear RNA (snRNA) component of the spliceosome (involved in pre-mRNA splicing). Its 5' end forms complementary base pairs with the 5' splice junction, thus defining the 5' donor site of an intron. There are significant differences in sequence and secondary structure between metazoan and yeast U1 snRNAs, the latter being much longer (568 nucleotides as compared to 164 nucleotides in human). NCBI's taxonomy places the organism in Eukaryota, Metazoa, Chordata, Mammalia, Rodentia, Bathyergidae. The record is from Ensembl.
AUACUCACUUGGCAGGGGAGAGACCAUGAUCACGAAGGCGGUUUCCCCAGGGUGAGGCUUAUGCUCUGGGCUCCAGAUGUGCUGACCCCUGCGAUUUCCCCAAAUGUGAGAAACUGGACUGCAUAAUUUGUGGUAGUGGGGGACUGUGUUUGCGUUUAA